This 1482-nucleotide ribosomal RNA is filed under the name metagenome. RNAcentral describes it as "bacterial SSU rRNA". It matches the Rfam family "Bacterial small subunit ribosomal RNA". The record is from RNAcentral.
AGAGUUUGAUCCUGGCUCAGGACGAACGCUGGCGGCGUGCCUAACACAUGCAAGUCACGGGGGGUAGCAAUACCAACCGGCGAACGGGUGCGGAACACGUGAGCAAUCUACCGAUUACUGGGGGAUAGCCGGCCCAACGGCCGGGUAAUACCGCAUACGCUCGAGAGGGGACAUCCCCAUUUGAGGAAACCUCCGUGGUAAUCGAGGAGCUCGCGUCUUAUCAGCUAGUUGGUGAGGUAACGGCUCACCAAGGCUACGACGGGUAGCUGGUCUGAGAGGAUGGCCAGCCACAUUGGGACUGCGACACGGCCCAGACUCCUACGGGAGGCAGCAGUGGGGAAUAUUGCGCAAUGGACGAAAGUCUGACGCAGCGACGCCGCGUGUGGGAUGAAGCUCUUCGGGGUGUAAACCACUGUUGCCCGGGACGAAUAUCCUUUUUCGAAAGGAUUGACGGUACCGGGUGAGGAAGCACCGGCUAACUCUGUGCCAGCAGCCGCGGUAAUACAGAGGGUGCGAGCGUUGUCCGGAAUCACUGGGCGUAAAGGGCGCGUAGGUGGCUUGUUAAGCGUGUGGUGAAAGCCUGGGGCUCAACCCCAGGUCUGCCGUGCGAACUGGCAAGCUUGAGCGUAGUAGAGGCAGGUGGAAUUUCGGGUGUAGCGGUGGAAUGCGUAGAUAUCCGAAAGAACACCGGUGGCGAAGGCGGCCUGCUGGGCUACUGCUGACACUGAUGCGCGACAGCGUGGGGAGCAAACAGGAUUAGAUACCCUGGUAGUCCACGCCGUAAACGAUGGGUACUAGGCGUCUGGGGGAGCGACCCCCUGGGUGCCGGCGCUAACGCAUGAAGUACCCCGCCUGGGGAGUACGGCCGCAAGGCUGAAGCUCAAAGGAAUUGACGGGGGCCCGCACAAGCGGUGGAGCAUGUGGUUUAAUUCGACGCAACGCGAAGAACCUUACCUGGGUUUGACAUGCUGGAGAAAGCCCUCAGAAACGGGGGCCCCUCUUCGGAGUUCCAGCACAGAUGCUGCAUGGCUGUCGUCAGCUCGUGUCGUGAGAUGUUGGGUUAAGUCCCGCAACGAGCGCAACCCUCAUCCCUAGUUACCAGCGGGUAAAGCCGGGAACUCUAGGGGGACUGCCGGUGCCAAACCGGACGAAGGUGGGGACGACGUCAAGUCAUCAUGGCUCUUACAUCCAGGGCUACACACGUGCUACAAUGGGCCAGACAAAGGGUCGCCAACCCGCGAGGGGGAGCCAAUCCCAUAAACUGGUCCUCAGUUCGGAUUGCAGUCUGCAACUCGACUGCAUGAAGCUGGAAUCGCUAGUAAUCGUGGAUCAGCUACGCCACGGUGAAUACGUUCCCGGGCCUUGUACACACCGCCCGUCACGCCAUGGAAGCUGUGAGUGCCCGAAGUCCGUGCAGGAACCCGCAAGGGGCCGGGCGGCCGAAGGCAAGCGCAGUGACUGGGGCGAAGUCGAAACAAGGUA